This 253-nucleotide ribosomal RNA is filed under the name uncultured bacterium. Its description in RNAcentral is "partial 16S ribosomal RNA". It matches the Rfam family "Bacterial small subunit ribosomal RNA", at positions 524 to 776 of the family's 1533-position model. The record is from RNAcentral.
UACGGAGGGAGCUAGCGUUGUUCGGAAUUACUGGGCGUAAAGCGCACGUAGGCGGCUUUGUAAGUUAGAGGUGAAAGCCUGGGGCUCAACCCCAGAAUUGCCUUUAAGACUGCAUCGCUUGAAUCCAGGAGAGGUGAGUGGAAUUCCGAGUGUAGAGGUGAAAUUCGUAGAUAUUCGGAAGAACACCAGUGGCGAAGGCGGCUCACUGGACUGGUAUUGACGCUGAGGUGCGAAAGCGUGGGGAGCGAACAGG